RNAcentral lists this ribosomal RNA (253 nucleotides) under uncultured bacterium. Its description in RNAcentral is "partial 16S ribosomal RNA". It matches the Rfam family "Bacterial small subunit ribosomal RNA", at positions 524 to 776 of the family's 1533-position model. The record is from RNAcentral.
UACGUAGGGGGCAAGCGUUAUCCGGAUUCACUGGGUGUAAAGGGAGCGUAGACGGCGACGCAAGUCUGGAGUGAAAGCCCGGGGCCCAACCCCGGGACUGCUCUGGAAACUGCGGCGCUGGAGUACGGGAGGGGCAGGCAGAAUUCCUGGUGUAGCGGUGAAAUGCGUAGAUAUCAGGAGGAACACCGGCGGCGAAGGCGGCCUGCUGGACCGUGACUGACGUUGAGGCUCGAGAGCGUGGGGAGCAAACAGG